GGUGGCUUAGUGGUAGAGUGCUUGCCUUGUAUGCAUGAGCCCUGGGUUCGAUUCCUCAGCACCA
RNAcentral lists this transfer RNA (64 nucleotides) under Dipodomys ordii (Ord's kangaroo rat). It matches the Rfam family "tRNA". From Rfam's summary of the family: Transfer RNA (tRNA) molecules are approximately 80 nucleotides in length. Their secondary structure includes four short double-helical elements and three loops (D, anti-codon, and T loops). Further hydrogen bonds mediate the characteristic L-shaped molecular structure. tRNAs have two regions of fundamental functional importance: the anti-codon, which is responsible for specific mRNA codon recognition, and the 3' end, to which the tRNAs corresponding amino acid is attached (by aminoacyl-tRNA synthetases). tRNAs cope with the degeneracy of the genetic code in two manners: having more than one tRNA (with a specific anti-codon) for a particular amino acid; and 'wobble' base-pairing, i.e. permitting non-standard base-pairing at the 3rd anti-codon position. Lineage: Eukaryota; Metazoa; Chordata; Mammalia; Rodentia; Heteromyidae. The record is from Rfam by way of RNAcentral.